Molecule: ribosomal RNA, 1338 nt
Filed under: uncultured bacterium
Lineage: Bacteria
Description: bacterial SSU rRNA
Rfam family: Bacterial small subunit ribosomal RNA
Source: RNAcentral
GACGAACGCUGGCGGCGUGCUUAACACAUGCAAGUCGAACGGAAAGGCCCUUCGGGGUACUCGAGUGGCGAACGGGUGAGUAACACGUGGGUGAUCUGCCCUGCACUUUGGGAUAAGCCUGGGAAACUGGGUCUAAUACCGAAUAUGAUCAUGGCCUUCAUGGGUUGUGGUGGAAAGCUUUUGCGGUGUGGGAUGGGCCCGCGGCCUAUCAGCUUGUUGGUGGGGUAAUGGCCUACCAAGGCGACGACGGGUAGCCGGCCUGAGAGGGUGUCCGGCCACACUGGGACUGAGAUACGGCCCAGACUCCUACGGGAGGCAGCAGUGGGGAAUAUUGCACAAUGGGCGCAAGCCUGAUGCAGCGACGCCGCGUGAGGGAUGACGGCCUUCGGGUUGUAAACCUCUUUCAGCAGGGACGAAGCGCAAGUGACGGUACCUGUAGAAGAAGGACCGGCCAACUACGUGCCAGCAGCCGCGGUAAUACGUAGGGUCCGAGCGUUGUCCGGAAUUACUGAGCGUAAAGAGCUCGUAGGUGGUUUGUCGCGUUGUUCGUGAAAACUCACAGCUUAACUGUGGGCGUGCGGGCGAUACGGGCAGACUUGAGUACUGCAGGGGAGACUGAAAUUCCUGGUGUAGCGGUGGAAUGCGCAGAUAUCAGGAGGAACACCGGUGGCGAAGGCGGGUCUCUGGGCAGUAACUGACGCUGAGGAGCGAAAGCGUGGGGAGCGAACAGGAUUAGAUACCCUGGUAGUCCACGCCGUAAACGGUGGGUACUAGGUGUGGGUUUCCUUCCUUGGGAUCCGUGCCGUAGCUAACGCAUUAAGUACCCCGCCUGGGGAGUACGGCCGCAAGGCUAAAACUCAAAGAAAUUGACGGGGGCCCGCACAAGCGGCGGAGCAUGUGGAUUAAUUCGAUGCAACGCGAAGAACCUUACCUGGGUUUGACAUGCACAGGACGUGCCUAGAGAUAGGUAUUCCCUUGUGGCCUGUGUGCAGGUGGUGCAUGGCUGUCGUCAGCUCGUGUCGUGAGAUGUUGGGUUAAGUCCCGCAACGAGCGCAACCCUUAUCUUAUGUUGCCAGCGCGUAAUGGCGGGGACUCGUGAGAGACUGCCGGGGUCAACUCGGAGGAAGGUGGGGAUGACGUCAAGUCAUCAUGCCCCUUAUGUCCAGGGCUUCACACAUGCUACAAUGGCCGGUACAAAGGGCUGCGAUGCCGUGAGGUGGAGCGAAUCCUUUCAAAGCCGGUCUCAGUUCGGAUCGGGGUCUGCAACUCGACCCCGUGAAGUCGGAGUCGCUAGUAAUCGCAGAUCAGCAACGCUGCGGUGAAUACGUUCCCGGGCCU